GGCUCAAUAGUUUAAUUGGAUAAAACACGGACCUCCUAAGUCUAAGCUCCCGGUUCGAUUCCGGGUUGGGCCA
This 73-nucleotide transfer RNA is filed under the name Oenococcus sicerae. RNAcentral describes it as "tRNA-Arg". It matches the Rfam family "tRNA". From Rfam's summary of the family: Transfer RNA (tRNA) molecules are approximately 80 nucleotides in length. Their secondary structure includes four short double-helical elements and three loops (D, anti-codon, and T loops). The record is from RNAcentral. Lineage: Bacteria; Bacillati; Bacillota; Bacilli; Lactobacillales; Lactobacillaceae.